Molecule: ribosomal RNA, 465 nt
Filed under: uncultured bacterium
Lineage: Bacteria
Description: partial 16S ribosomal RNA
Rfam family: Bacterial small subunit ribosomal RNA
Source: RNAcentral
GAUGAACGCUGGCGGCGUGCUUAACACAUGCAAGUCGAACGAUGAAGCACAGCUUGCUGGGUGGAUUAGUGGCGAACGGGUGAGUAACACGUGAGUACCCUGCCCUUAACUCUGGGAUAAGCCUGGGAAACUGGGUCUAAUACCUGAUAGGAGCGUCCACCGCAUGGUGGGUGUUGGAAAGCUUUAUCGGUUUUGGAUGGACUCGCGGCCUAUCAGCUUGUUGGUGAGGUAAUGGCUCACCAAGGCGACGACGGGUAGCCGGCCUGAGAGGGUGACCGGCCACACUGGGACUGAGACACGGCCCAGACUCCUACGGGAGGCAGCAGUGGGGAAUAUUGCAAAAUGGGCGCAAGCCUGAUGCAGCGACGCCGCGUGAGGGAUGACGGCCUUCGGGUGGUAAACCUCUUUCAGUAGGGAAGAAGCGAAAGGGACGGUACCUGCAGAAGAAGCACCGGCUAACUACGU